AUGACCGUUAGGCUUGAGCACUAUGAAACCUUGAUUGGUGUUGAUUUCUAUCAGGUGGAGAUAUGUCCCCCUUUACCCUGUGUUGCACAUGAGGAUUUGAGCGACUCUGAGAAGGAACUUGUUGGCACUUUUUUUUACACUCGUGGUGUCGAUCUCAAUUAUCAGCAAAUGUAUUUCAUGUCGCAACAAUUCUUUGAUGACAACUACAUACUCUGUUGUCCUUUUGUUCACAUGAUUAAUUCCGUGAAUGUUAAUGGUCAUCAUAUGGUUAUUCCUAGCAUGGUUGUCAGGAGUUUGAAGAAGUUUGUGUCAUUUCCUAGGGCCGACGUUUUAACUCUUGAAGUUACUUUAGAUUCUUACGAUGAUGAUAUAUAUGUGAGCAUUCCUUGUUCGUACUUCAUUGGCUUGGGUGGUAGAAUGGUGUUCAAGAAGCAAGGGUUCAGUGAUUUUCUUCAGGCAUCGUCUAUUAAAGUAAACAACUUGGAUCUCAUAACCUUCAAGGAGCGUGAUGGGAGGUUUGUUGUUAUCUUCAGUCUUCUUUCACAAUGA
This 549-nucleotide ribosomal RNA is filed under the name Triticum aestivum (bread wheat). RNAcentral's name for it is "partial small subunit ribosomal RNA". Lineage: Eukaryota; Viridiplantae; Streptophyta; Magnoliopsida; Poales; Poaceae. The record is from RNAcentral.